Erinaceus europaeus (western European hedgehog) is the source of this 124-nucleotide ribosomal RNA. The record is from Ensembl. NCBI's taxonomy places the organism in Eukaryota, Metazoa, Chordata, Mammalia, Eulipotyphla, Erinaceidae.
GUCUGUGGCCAAACCACCCUGAAUACACCUGAUCUCCUCUGAUCUCUGAAGCUAAGCAGGGUCAGGCCUGGUUAGUAGCUGGAUGGGAGAAAUAAAAUGAGUGGGGACCAGGUGGUGGUGCACC